Molecule: ribosomal RNA, 484 nt
Filed under: uncultured bacterium
Lineage: Bacteria
Description: partial 16S ribosomal RNA
Rfam family: Bacterial small subunit ribosomal RNA
Source: RNAcentral
AUUGAACGCUAGCGGGAUGCUUUACACAUGCACGUCGAACGGCAGCGCGGACUUCGGUCUGGCGGCGAGUGGCGAACGGGUGAGUAAUGUAUCGGAACGUGCCCAGUAGCGGGGGAUAACUACGCGAAAGCGUAGCUAAUACCGCAUACGCCCUACGGGGGAAAGCAGGGGAUCGUAAGACCUUGCACUAUUGGAGCGGCCGAUAUCGGAUUAGCUAGUUGGUGAGGUAACGGCUCACCAAGGCGACGAUCCGUAGCUGGUUUGAGAGGACGACCAGCCACACUGGGACUGAGACACGGCCCAGACUCCUACGGGAGGCAGCAGUGGGGAAUUUUGGACAAUGGGGGCAACCCUGAUCCAGCCAUCCCGCGUGUGCGAUGAGGGCCUUCGGGUUGUAAAGCACUUUUGGCAGGAAAGAAACGUCGCGGGCUAAUACCCCGUGGAACUGACGGUACCUGCAGAAUAAGCACCGGCUAACUACGUG